AAAUUGAAGAGUUUGAUCAUGGCUCAGAUUGAACGCUGGCGGCAGGCCUAACACAUGCAAGUCGAGCGGAAACGAGUURUCWGAACCUUCGGGGGACGAUAACGGCGUCGAGCGGCGGACGGGUGAGUAAUGCCUAGGAAAUUGCCCUGAUGUGGGGGAUAACCAUUGGAAACGAUGGCUAAUACCGCAUGAUGCCUACGGGCCAAAGAGGGGGACCUUCGGGCCUCUCGC
RNAcentral lists this ribosomal RNA (231 nucleotides) under Vibrio parahaemolyticus. RNAcentral's name for it is "partial 16S ribosomal RNA". It matches the Rfam family "Bacterial small subunit ribosomal RNA", at positions 1 to 218 of the family's 1533-position model. The record is from RNAcentral. Lineage: Bacteria; Pseudomonadati; Pseudomonadota; Gammaproteobacteria; Vibrionales; Vibrionaceae.